UUCAGUGGCGAUAGCUGCGGGGAUCCACCUGUUCCCAUGCCGAACACAGCAGUUAAGCCCGC
Molecule: ribosomal RNA, 62 nt
Filed under: Megasphaera elsdenii
Lineage: Bacteria; Bacillati; Bacillota; Negativicutes; Veillonellales; Veillonellaceae
Also listed under: 1 other name
Source: RNAcentral